Ananas comosus (pineapple) is the source of this 1578-nucleotide long non-coding RNA. RefSeq lists it as uncharacterized. Lineage: Eukaryota; Viridiplantae; Streptophyta; Magnoliopsida; Poales; Bromeliaceae. The record is from RefSeq and is a predicted model, not a curated record. The transcript has 5 exons.
ACAAACCUAUCCAAAUAGGGCUUAAAGACACGGUUCAUUAAAUCCAUAAAGGCUGCUGGGGCAUUUGUCAGUUCAAAAGGCAUAACUGUAAAUUCAUAAUGCUCAUACCAUGUCCUAAAAGCGGUCUUGAAAACAUCUUCAGGCUUGAUCUUAAGCUGAUGAUAACCUGACUGCAAAUCAAUUUUAGAAUAUACUUUCGAUCCUUACAGCUGAUCGAAUAAGUCAUCGAUUCUGAAUAAUGGAUAUUUAUUCUUGAUUGUGACUUUGUUGAUUUCUCGAUAAUCCACACACAAUCGAAGGGAUCCAUAUUUCUUUUUGACAAACAAAACCGAGGCUCCCCAAGGAGAUACACUCGAUCGAAUGAAACCUUUAUCCAAGAAAUUUUGCAAUUGUGCCUUCAGCUCUUUCAACUCAGUGGGUGUCAUUCUAUAGGGUGCUUUCGAGAUAGGGGUAGUAGUCCCAGGGACAAGGUCUAUCACAAAUUCAACUUCUCUAUCAGGUGGCAUAUCUGGCAACUCAGCUGGAAACACAUCUCCGAAUUCUCGCACAACCGGGAUAUUAUCAAUCUUGACGGCUUCUCCGUCGCUUACAAAAAUACUAGCCAAAUAGGCUACACAACCCCUCCGAAUCAACUGUCGUUCUUGCGAAGAGCUAAUAGUUAUUGCGAACAAUGAACUCUAGCACCCCUUAUAAACAAACUCUUGCUGACCGAUCCUACAUGUUCUAAAAAGGGUUAGACAAGUUUUGGACAAGUUUGAGAGUGAUUGGAUUGUCGAAGACAAGAAAUUGCAUUGCUCCUGUGAAAUUUGGCCAUUUUUGCAUUGUGUACCGGUACAGGCAUUAUGCUGUACCGGUACAGCAAGCAGCAGAGGCAGCAGCUGCGUGGCAAGCAUGCCAUUUUGGUCUUUUAGCAUCCCAUGCUUAUCUACUUGACCCAGCACGACCCCAGGAGCUCUGUAGAAGUUGCUGGAGCUCAGAGCAAGUUUCUUCCCCUUCUCCCUCUUUCUCUCUCUAGGGUUUUUCUCUCUCUACGCGAAAGUCGCCGUUUUGCGCCGAUUUCGCGUCUCGAUCAACGGUUGCUGGUUGGGUGGACUUGGGGUCGGCUUUUAAUAGCUGAGUUGAGAAGGACUCCAGCAGCUUGAAAGGAGUUAUUUAGCUAUGAUUUAUCUACCUUGGACCAGGGUUAAGCUGCUGCAAAGCUAGACAAAGGUUUUCGAGUCUCUUUGAGCUGAACCUGUGCUCUUGGAAGCUGGUUUGGGAGGAUAUUUUAAGCAAGGGAUUGCGAUCAACCCUUGGCUCAUUUUCUGCUGAUCAGUGAGGGCUUUUGGGGGCUUAACUUGAGUUAUUGAGCUGAACCAAAACAGGGAUUUACAUUGCAAGAUAGUACAAUUGAGUAUUUCGUCGAAAUUGGACUUUUAGUAAUCGUGGUAACGUGAUUCUUAUGUUUCAUGUUCAGCAGGAUCGUGGCCUAGUUGAGCUAACUCUUGGAAUUCAUUUGAGCUGAUUUGAGUUUAGUAAUAGAGCCAUCUACAGAAGAGGUUGGGGAUCGUGGCAAGGGAGUCGCGUCUAGCUAGACAU